AACGAACGCUGGCGGCAUGCCUAACACAUGCAAGUCGAACGAGACCUUCGGGUCUAGUGGCGCACGGGUUCGUAACGCGUGGGAACCUGCCCUUAGGGUCGGACUAACUCCCCGAAAGGGGUGCUAAUACCGGAUAAUGUCUUCGGACCAAAGAUUUAUCGCCUUUGGAUGGUCCCGCGUUGGAUUAGCUAGUUGGUAGGGUAAAAGCCUACCAAGGCGACGAUCCAUAGCUGGUCUGAGAGGAAGAUCAGCCACACUGGGACUGAGACACGGCCCAGACUCCUCCGGGAGGGAGCAGUGGGGAAUAUUGGACAAUGGGCGAAAGCAUGAACCAGCAAUGCCGCGUGAGUGAUGAAGGCCUGAGGGUUGUAAAGCUCUUUUACCCGGGAUGAUAAUGACAGUACCGGGAGAAUAAGCGCCGGCUAACUCCGUG
Molecule: ribosomal RNA, 433 nt
Filed under: uncultured bacterium
Lineage: Bacteria
Description: partial 16S ribosomal RNA
Rfam family: Bacterial small subunit ribosomal RNA
Source: RNAcentral